This 580-nucleotide ribosomal RNA is filed under the name Libnetis granicollis. RNAcentral describes it as "partial 12S ribosomal RNA". The record is from RNAcentral. Lineage: Eukaryota; Metazoa; Arthropoda; Insecta; Coleoptera; Lycidae.
AUACAAAUAAGAUAAUUUAAAUUUAUUAAUUAUUAAUUAAUUAUUUAUCAAUAAAUUUUAUUAUGAUUAUUUAAGGUGAAAUUUUAUAAUUGUUAAAAUUAAUUUUUAUUAAAUGAUAUUAAAUAAUAAUUAAAAUUAAACUAGGAUUAGAUACCCUAUUAUUUAUUAGAAAAAUUUAAUAUUUUAUUAUUAAGUUUAAUUAAACGUAAAAUAAAAAAAUUUGGCGGUAUUUUAUUCUUUUCAGAGGAACCUGUUUCGUGAUUGAUAGUCCACGUUUUUCUUUGCUUUUAAUAUGGUUUGUAUAUCGUCGUUUUUUAAAUAUUUUAAUUGAAAUUAAUGUUUUUAAUAUUUUGUUUAAUAAAAUAUCAGAUCAAGGUGCAGCAUUUAGAAGAGAUAAUGGGUUACAUUAUACAAAUAUUUGAUUUUAGUUUUUAAUAGAUUAAUUAAAUUGGAUUUGUAAGUAAAUUGGAAAAUAUAUUUCUAUUGAUUAAGUUUAAAAAUAUGCACAUAUUGCCCGUCGCUUUCAUUAUAAAAUGAAAUAAGUCGUAACAAAGUAGAUUUACUGGAAAGUGUAUCUAGA